This 253-nucleotide ribosomal RNA is filed under the name uncultured bacterium. Its description in RNAcentral is "partial 16S ribosomal RNA". It matches the Rfam family "Bacterial small subunit ribosomal RNA", at positions 524 to 776 of the family's 1533-position model. The record is from RNAcentral.
UACGUAGGGUGCAAGCGUUGUCCGGAAUUAUUGGGCGUAAAGAGCUUGUAGGCGGUUUGUCGCGUCUGCUGUGAAAUUUCGGGGCUCAACCCCGAACUUGCAGUGGGUACGGGCAGACUAGAGUGUGGUAGGGGAGACUGGAAUUCCUGGUGUAGCGGUGAAAUGCGCAGAUAUCAGGAGGAACACCGAUGGCGAAGGCAGGUCUCUGGGCCACUACUGACGCUGAUGCGCGAAAGCCAGGGGAGCGAACGGG